UGAAGCUGGAUUCGCUAGUAAUCGCGCAUCAGCCAUGGCGCGGUGAAUACGUUCCCGGGCCUUGUACACACCGCCCGUCAAGCCAUGGGAGCCGGGGGUGCUUGAAGUGCGUGACCGCAAGGAGCGUCCUAAGGCAAUACCGGUGACUGGGGCUAAGUCGUAACAAGGUACC
RNAcentral lists this ribosomal RNA (172 nucleotides) under uncultured bacterium. RNAcentral describes it as "partial 16S ribosomal RNA". It matches the Rfam family "Bacterial small subunit ribosomal RNA", at positions 1321 to 1500 of the family's 1533-position model. The record is from RNAcentral.